RNAcentral lists this small RNA (78 nucleotides) under Flavobacterium aquatile LMG 4008 = ATCC 11947. Its description in RNAcentral is "Flavobacterium aquatile LMG 4008 Flavo-1 RNA". It matches the Rfam family "Flavo-1 RNA". Lineage: Bacteria; Pseudomonadati; Bacteroidota; Flavobacteriia; Flavobacteriales; Flavobacteriaceae. The record is from Rfam by way of RNAcentral.
GUUUAGCCCAGAUUGGAACGGCAUCCUUUUUCUUGUUUCUUUAACAAGGAAAAGAUAUAGUGGAAAGCUGGAACUAGC